Bemisia tabaci is the source of this 621-nucleotide non-coding RNA. NCBI's taxonomy places the organism in Eukaryota, Metazoa, Arthropoda, Insecta, Hemiptera, Aleyrodidae. The record is from RefSeq and is a predicted model, not a curated record.
UCUCCACCAUCCAAUCAAAGGCAUCCAAGUCUUCAAACCAUUGAUAAUGUCACGGUAUCUAUAAAUAACCGCUUCAUCGGGCAAUCGAAGUCUUUUCUUCCGCAGUGGACCUGUGGUCUCCAUCUCGUUCCACCUUUUAACGCGUGUACUUAUACCAGGUAUUACGAGGGACCCACGAAGUCCCCCCUCCUCCAAAUCUAGUGCACCUUGGGGAGAGUUUUUCGUCCUCCUCCUGGGAUCCAGAUAACAGACGCGGACCGGCUGAUAAUCAGGUCCCACGCCCCUGGCCCAAUCAAGCUAGGAAUCCUAACGUCCAUCAAGCACGACUGAUUAUGAGAGUUUGGCCCUGCGCGAUGGGCCCGCUAAACUCUGAACCAAACCCCUAGAACCGCACCUGCGGCUCGUGGAGCCUCUUCGAUCUGCACUGUAUUGCAUCGGACCUAGUCCGCACUCCUCCGGCGGUGGGUUCAGCAAUACUCCUACACUUGCCCUUCGGUGUGGUUUCAGGGAUUGUUCUUUGCAGGAAACUCCUAAUUUGGAAUCAGCCACCCAAAAAAACUUUUUUUUGACCUAUGUUGCCAUACCUCCUCCUUGUUCAUGAUUUAGGCAUUUUGUUUUAUU